This 83-nucleotide transfer RNA is filed under the name Candidatus Kerfeldbacteria bacterium RIFCSPHIGHO2_12_FULL_48_17. Its description in RNAcentral is "tRNA-Tyr". It matches the Rfam family "tRNA". From Rfam's summary of the family: Transfer RNA (tRNA) molecules are approximately 80 nucleotides in length. Their secondary structure includes four short double-helical elements and three loops (D, anti-codon, and T loops). Further hydrogen bonds mediate the characteristic L-shaped molecular structure. tRNAs have two regions of fundamental functional importance: the anti-codon, which is responsible for specific mRNA codon recognition, and the 3' end, to which the tRNAs corresponding amino acid is attached (by aminoacyl-tRNA synthetases). tRNAs cope with the degeneracy of the genetic code in two manners: having more than one tRNA (with a specific anti-codon) for a particular amino acid; and 'wobble' base-pairing, i.e. permitting non-standard base-pairing at the 3rd anti-codon position. Lineage: Bacteria; Candidatus Kerfeldiibacteriota. The record is from RNAcentral.
GGGUGGAUACCAAAGUGGUUAAAUGGACUAGACUGUAAAUCUAGUGGCCAACGCCUUCGUAGGUUCGAAUCCUACUCCACCCA